UGGUCCUAGCCUUGAAAUCAGCUAUUACUCAGCUUAUACAUGCAAGUCUCCGCACCCCUGUGAGAACGCCCUUAUAUCCCUCUAGGGAUCAGGAGCCGGUAUCAGGCUCUAACUGUUUAGCCCAAGACACCUAGCCAUGCCACACCCACAAGGGUAUACAGCAGUGAUUAAUAUUGACCAUAAGCGAAAGCUUGACUCAGCCAGAGUAAACAGGGCCGGCAAAUCUGGUGCCAGCCGCCGCGGCCAUACCAGGUGGCCCAAGCUGACUUCACCCGGCGUAAAGCGUGAUUAAAGUACCCUAAAACUGCAGUAAAACCAGAACUAGGUCGUGAUAAUCCUGAGCCUGGGAACCUCGAAAACGAAAGUAACUGCAUCAUAACCCACUUGACCUCACGACAGCUAGAAUACAAACUGGGAUUAGAUACCCCACUAUGCCUAGCCGUAAACCUUAACUUACACCCAAAUCGCCAGGGAACUACGAGCAAUGCUUAAAACCCAAAGGACUUGACGGUGCCCCAUAUCCACCUAGAGGAGCCUGUCCUAUAAUCGAUAACCCUCGUUAAACCUCACCACUCCUUGCUUUACAGCCUGUAUACCUCCGUCGUCAGCUUACCACGUGAGCGACCCCCCAGUAAGCGAGAGGGCCUACACCAAAACGUCAGGUCAAGGUGCAGCUCAUGGGGUGGGAAGAGAUGGGCUACACUUUCUAACCUAGAAGAAACGAAAGACUACACAUGAAACAUAGUCAGAAGGCGGAUUUAGUAGUAAAGGGGAACAAGAAUGCCCCCUUUAACACGGCCCUGGGGCGUGUACACACCGCCCGUCACCCUCUUCGAAGCGAUAAAAACAGUAUUUAACACUAUUUAGCUACAAAGAAGAGGCAAGUCGUAACAUGGUAAGCUUACCGGAAGGUGUGCUUGGAAA
This 924-nucleotide non-coding RNA is filed under the name Scinax alter (Crubixa snouted treefrog). Its description in RNAcentral is "partial 12S small subunit ribosomal RNA". It matches the Rfam family "Bacterial small subunit ribosomal RNA". The record is from RNAcentral. Lineage: Eukaryota; Metazoa; Chordata; Amphibia; Anura; Hylidae.